This 619-nucleotide ribosomal RNA is filed under the name uncultured bacterium. RNAcentral describes it as "bacterial SSU rRNA". It matches the Rfam family "Bacterial small subunit ribosomal RNA", at positions 86 to 726 of the family's 1533-position model. The record is from RNAcentral.
UCUUGAUUAGUGGCGCACGGGUGAGUAAUGCAUAGAUAAUGUGCCCCUUAGUUCGGGAUAGCCACUGGAAACGGUGAUUAAUACCGGAUACUCCUUCUUGUUAUAAGACAAGUCGGGAAAGUUUUUCGCUAAGGGAUCAGUCUAUGUUCCAUCAGCUUGUUGGUGAGGUAAUGGCUCACCAAGGCUAUGACGGAUAUCUGGUUUGAGAGGAUGAUCAGACACACUGGAACUGAGACACGGUCCAGACUCCUACGGGAGGCAGCAGUGAGGAAUAUUGCACAAUGGAGGAAACUCUGAUGCAGCAACGCCGCGUGGAGGAUGACGCAUUUCGGUGUGUAAACUCCUUUUAUUAGGGAAGAUAAUGACGGUACCUAAUGAAUAAGCACCGGCUAACUCCGUGCCAGCAGCCGCGGUGAUACGGAGGGUGCAAGCGUUACUCGGAAUCACUGGGCGUAAAGGGUGCGUAGGCUGGCUUUUAAGUCAGAUGUGAAAUCCAAUGGCUCAACCAUUGAACUGCAUUUGAAACUGAAAGCCUAGAGUUCAGAAGGGGCAGAUGGAAUUAGUGGUGUAGGGGUAAAAUCCGUAGAUAUCACUAGGAAUAUCAAAAGCGAAGGCGAUC